This 253-nucleotide ribosomal RNA is filed under the name uncultured bacterium. RNAcentral describes it as "partial 16S ribosomal RNA". It matches the Rfam family "Bacterial small subunit ribosomal RNA", at positions 524 to 776 of the family's 1533-position model. The record is from RNAcentral.
UACGGAGGGUGCAAGCGUUGCUCGGAAUUACUGGGCGUAAAGCGUACGCAGGCUGUCCGUUAAGUCGGGUGUGAAAUCCCGGGGCUCAACCCCGGAAUUGCGCCCGAAACUGGCGGGCUUGAGUGCGGGAGAGGGAAGCGGAAUUCCUGGUGUAGAGGUGAAAUUCGUAGAUAUCAGGAGGAACACCGGUGGCGAAAGCGGCUUCCUGGCCCGACACUGACGCUCAUGUACGAAAGCGUGGGGAGCAAACAGG